RNAcentral lists this ribosomal RNA (486 nucleotides) under uncultured bacterium. RNAcentral describes it as "partial 16S ribosomal RNA". It matches the Rfam family "Bacterial small subunit ribosomal RNA", at positions 28 to 507 of the family's 1533-position model. The record is from RNAcentral.
GAUGAACGCUGGCGGCGUGCCUAAUACAUGCAAGUCGAACGCUGGAGAUUUAGCUUGCUAGAUCGAAGUAGUUGCGAACGGGUUAGUUAUACAUAAGCAACCUACCCACUAAGUCUGGUAUAUUCUCUGGAAACGUGGACUAAUACCGGAUAUGUAAUCGGAACGCAUCUUCUGGUUAUUACAGGUUUAAAACACUGGUGGUUGGGCUUAUGGCGCAUUAGUUAGUUGGUGAGGUAACGGCCAACCAAGACGAUGAUGCGUAGCCGGCCUGAGAGGGUGAACGGCGACAGUGGGACUGAGACACGGCCCAGACUCCUACGGGAGGCAGAAGUAGGGAAGUGUCGGAGAUGGGGGCAAUACUGAGCGAGCAACGCAGCGUGAGUGAAGAAGGCCUUCGGGAUGUAAAGCUCUGUUGUAAGGGAAGAACGGUAGAUAGAGAAUAGCUAAGUGACGGUACCUUACCAGAAAGCUACGGCUAACUACGUG